UCUGUCCGUAGGCCGCUUCUGCUGCAGGUGAGGGUUCCAGUUACUAGCUACCUUCACCUUAAUAUUACGCCCCUUACAGCACCUCCCCCUCAGUCUCCCCCACCCAGACACCCUCUACUGGACCCUUCAUUCAACGUCAAGUGAGGAGGAAAGUGAUAGAGAGUGUUAAAGGGGAGAUAUAAAGGCGUGUAAAUGUCUAUCUGGCGACUCUGUGAGGAUAAGGAAGAGAGCGAGAUCCUACAUUUGUUUAGUGUCACCGGCAACGUGCAAGAGGGAGGUCGCGUCUGCUGCGGCUCUGGCCUGCCCUAUUGUCUUGGAGACGCGGGGAGACUAAAUUGAAAAGCCCGCGACCUCGACCUCGGCUGAAGAAAAAACGGAAGGACGGAAGGAAGAAAGACGGAAAAGAGGAAGGAAGGCGCCGCAGGGAAGAGAGGAAGAGGAGGAAGAAGAGGAGGAAGAAGAGGAGGAUGGGUUGAGGCGAGGUGCAGCUGACCGUGGGAUCCAGAGAGAGAGAAAGAGAGAGAGAAAGAGAGAGAGAGAGGGAAGGUGGAAGCCUCACAGCGCACUCUGGUGGUGAUGCUUCGCCGCUCUCGCAUUCCCGGCCCCAUCCCGCUCCUCCACGGUGGCCAUCCGUAUCUCGGCUGACCGCCCCCCAUCCCCCAGCGCCUCCAUGCCUUGCCCUCAUUGCUGUGACUCCCCCGCCCCUGCCCCUCUGCGCUACACAGCCUCAGAAAUUAAUGUUUAAGUGAUA
Molecule: long non-coding RNA, 751 nt
Organism: Scylla paramamosain (green mud crab)
Lineage: Eukaryota; Metazoa; Arthropoda; Malacostraca; Decapoda; Portunidae
Exons: 2
Source: RefSeq, a predicted model, not a curated record